This is a small nucleolar RNA of Dromaius novaehollandiae (emu), 69 nucleotides long. RefSeq annotates it as small nucleolar RNA SNORD34. The record is from RefSeq and is a predicted model, not a curated record. The transcript has a single exon. Lineage: Eukaryota; Metazoa; Chordata; Aves; Casuariiformes; Dromaiidae.
GGUGUCGAUGAUGCGUUUUACCUACAUUGCUUGAUGCUCCCUGAGAAAACUGUCAGCACUGAGACACCC